UUUCCGUAGGUGAACCUGCGGAAGGAUCAUUAUUGGAUUUUGAAACUUCAGGCUGCUGCUGGCUCUCCUCGGAGGGCAUGUGCACGCUUGUUGUCCAUUAUUUCUCUCACUGUGCACAAAUUGUAGACCUUUCAGUAGGCCUAUGUUGUUUUUCACAAUCUCUGAAUGUAAUAGAAUGGUUUUGAAUCUUGGGAAAUACAAUACAACUUUCAGCAACGGAUCUCUUGGCUCUC
This 233-nucleotide unclassified non-coding RNA is filed under the name plant metagenome. RNAcentral describes it as "partial contains small subunit ribosomal RNA, internal transcribed spacer 1, and 5.8S ribosomal RNA". The record is from RNAcentral.